UAAAAAUGUGAAAUGCGCAUUUUUUGCUUUUAAGAAGAAAUGGAAAAAUUAUCAAAAUUACACACUUUUCGAGUCAGAGCCUCAGAGGCAAAGAUAUUUCCACGUUUUAGAUGAGAUUAAGGUUUCAAGGGAACCUUUGUAAAUCGGACAUUCCAAUCUUUGCAUGAAAGGACUCUUGAAAUAGUCCUUAAAUACUCCCUUCAGCUGCUUGUGAUACGUUGAACAGUUUAGAUUAAACAUAUCCCUAGAGAUGCAACAUAUUCUAAUAAGAUGCAGCAAACUUGGAUUCAAGACUUUUGGGAUGAAGACAUAGAGAUGGGGGUUAGUUGGAGGAGAGGUGGAGUGUAGACAGGGAGAGAGGUUGGGUAGAGAUAGGGGUGGAAGGGUAGAAAUGGAGGAAGGAUGGAAAUAGGAUACAGUGAUAACCAGAAACUCUGAAAUAGACGACUCUUAGAAUUAAGUUCAAACUUCAAAAAUCCAAUGAGCAUGAGACACAACAAUUGUUCAGUGUAAACAGACCCAUUAAAUAAGUGAGUUGGAAAACUAUUUGCUUUGGAACAACAUUGAAUACACUUAAAUAUCGCUAUAAUGUCGUCUUCCUAUUCUAUUGUUUUCUGGAUAUGACUGUACAUAUAUGAGCUAUGGAGGAAGAGGAUUAAGAAUGGGGUGGGGAUAUUGAGGGGAGAAACCUAUGAAAUAAAGGGAUGAAGGUGGAGGUAUGACUAUAGAGGUGUGGGCGAAGAAUGGUGUGUGGAUUGAGAGGGGAGGGGGAGAAACCUAUGAAAUAAAGGGGAAGGUGGAGGUAUGACUAUAGAGGUGUAGGCGAAGACAAAGUACAAAAGGAGUACUUUGUGUUAUAAGAGAGCAGUCCUUUUUUUGUCUUUAGCUUUUCUUUCAUUGAUUUUUAAAUUUAUUAUGAUUCAACUUUUGUCCAUGUAAAAGAUUUCAUAAUUGUGGAGAGCUUGAGUGAAAAUAUGUAAUAAGAAUAUGUACCCCAAUAGAAAAGUAAAUCGGCCUGUAAAUCGGCGAAGUACACACAUUGUACAUGUUAACUAUGUAUUUGUAUAUAUAACCUGCGUAAACACAAUGUGCCUCACACUACUCUUCACGUAUCUAUUUGUAAUCACCAUAUCAUUAUAUAAUAUCAUUAAUCAACUUAUUACAGUGGUGCCCAUAAACCUGCGGAAUAGGAAAUCGACAGUAUAGUCUCGAGUUAUGAUUUUACAUAGUCCAAUGAACAUGAAACACAGCUAGUGACGGCGCCGUAUUUACCCAUUUCACGAUAACGAUAUUUAAUUCACAGAUGAUUGCAAUCAAACGUCGUCUUCUCUUUUCCCCAGUUUUAUGAUUCCCACUGUAAAUAUUAACUAUUGACAGUGUCCGACGAUUAAACAUUUUCAAAAUUAGAAAAUUUAAAUUCUAAUUUUUAAAUUUUUAAACACAGUUAACAAGGAAUUGUCAAAAAAACAAAGUUUUCUAUAACUGAAAAUCAAUAUUUUGUUGUUGGACAUUUUAUUGCACUGAGAUUUAAGCACCAUGUAGAUAUAUAACCUUAACUGGAGAUGGACAAAUAACAAAAAAAUAUCCUCCAUUUUGGUAUUUCCAUCAGAUCAAAUUAAGAUGAAAUUUAUUUCUCAAAUCUUUCUUGAUAUUCUGGGUUCUUCCGACCUCAAAGAUUUCAAUAUUUGAGAACUGGGUUGGAUAUAAAGUUAAAGGUUUAGUGUUAUCGUGUGUUCAAUGAAAUAUACAUAUGCAGUGUUUGUAUAUAGUGCUGUUAAAUAUAUUAUGUUUCAUAAAUAA
Molecule: long non-coding RNA, 1800 nt
Organism: Eurytemora carolleeae
Lineage: Eukaryota; Metazoa; Arthropoda; Copepoda; Calanoida; Temoridae
Exons: 2
Source: RefSeq, a predicted model, not a curated record